This is a non-coding RNA of Microcebus murinus (gray mouse lemur), 913 nucleotides long. The record is from RefSeq and is a predicted model, not a curated record. NCBI's taxonomy places the organism in Eukaryota, Metazoa, Chordata, Mammalia, Primates, Cheirogaleidae.
CCCUCGGCCCCAACGGUCACCGCACGACGCGAGGCCCGCCCUUGACGGACGAGGGGCUCGGGCCGAGCGCCGCCCGCGGGGUCGGGGUCCCGCGCCCUCGCGCGCUCCCUGCCCGGCCCAGCCCGCGCGGCUGACGGGGCUUUAUUAGGGUCUCGCUGGGGAUAAUGACGGUGUUUUUGUUUCGCCAGGGUCCCCUCCCGCCGCCCCGGCCCGUGACGGGGGCUCCCCGUGUCCCCAGCGCCCGCUCACUCGGGGCGGCCCGGCCCAUCCCCCGCCGAGCGGGCGCCGGGACAGGGGCCGUGACUCGGCAGAUCUGGGCCAGGGACGCAGGCCCAGGCCUGGGGCCCCGGGGACAAGCCGGUGGGCCCCAAACCUGUGACCUGAAGAUCAGUUUCCCGCGGGGAAGCGGCCCUGGUGUGUUCAGGUCGGGACUCCUGCUCUGACACACGAAGUCGAGUGAAUGGGACAGGAGCUGGCAGCGAGGGAUGCAUCGUGGCUACAGACAAGGAGCCCUAACCACGGAAUGCAGGAAUGCAGCCGGGUCCCUGCUGUCUAUAAGAGCUCGUCUUUUAUUUGCAAUGACAAAAUACAGAAACAGGGCACGAAUAUAAAUGCAAACAGAAUGUGCAUUAAAGCCACUGACUUCAUUCUGUGCCUUUGUGACAUGUUACUGAUGAAGCAGAGGCCAAGCCCGGUGUGGGGAGGCCAGUUUGCUUUUGGGGUGCUCCCUCUGCAGGCGGCGUGUUGCCUGCAGCACAGAGGAAGGGAGCCGACAAGCAGAGGGGCCCAGCCCUGCGGGUGACUCACACGCUUGCACGCUGAUGGCCAGGAAUGAAUCAACAGUCCUCCAGACCGGUUUAUCAUGUCACAACAAAACGCCAGCAAACAUGUAGUAGUAAACUCCCGAAAGGAU